CAAGUCGUCUGGCCGCACAGCUUCUCACCUAGUGUCACUCGGGUCCCUCUGCUGCUCUGUCUCCCAGUGGCUCUGCCAGAUCUAACACGGGGAGGGAAUUUCCAGAGGAGGCCUUUUGGGAGAUGGAGUCAACUCCAUCAUGGAAGCAAAUGCCUGCCUCCCACAUGAAGAUGUGUGAAGAUGACUUGGGGAGAGGGAGCCGACAGCAUUUCCAUGGUAACCUCAAGCAUCCCUGUGAAGUCAUCGUUGUGCCCUUCUGACGUAUUCGAACCCUGGCAACCAGGACUGUUUAUCUCUAGGGAUUGAGUUCAAGAUCUAAAAAUGUGAAAGAACUACACUGAAAUGAACAAGCACCUCACUUGCUAAGAAUGUCACUGCUGUCUGGGACAGAAGCAGUAUGAAAUAGACAAGAAGCUCUGUGAACUCAGAUGGCUGUGUUCUUCCUGUGGGAACUUGGGUACAGUAUGACCUCUCUGGUCCUCAGGUUCCUUCUUCACUUGUAAAAUGAGGGGUCAUAUUGAAAUUACUGUGGAGCCAUCAAUGACAUUCUCAAGAGUUUCUGCUGUGUCAGCCAUUCGUCUAGCAGGGAAGAGUAGCUUUUGUCUGCUCAGAAUUGGUCCUGACUACUGACUGCAAGGCCGAUCCCAUAGGCUGAUCAGUUUCAUCUGCUCCAUCUUUAUCCGGAACCCCCUCCUCAACCUCCAUCAUUCUGAAGCAAAUCAGGAGAAAAUAUCAGACUGGCCAUUCUAAGCUCCUAUUUUCCAGUCCAGCAGCCCCUUUGCUGGCAAUAAAAAUAAGCUCUGAAGAUGGGAAGAAGGGAUUAAG
This is a non-coding RNA of Macaca mulatta (Rhesus monkey), 825 nucleotides long. The record is from RefSeq and is a predicted model, not a curated record. NCBI's taxonomy places the organism in Eukaryota, Metazoa, Chordata, Mammalia, Primates, Cercopithecidae.